UACGUAGGCAGCAAGCGUUGUUCGGAGGUACUGGGCGUAAAGGGUGUGUAGGCGGUUGUUUAAGUUUGGUGGGAAAUCUCCCGGCUCAACUGGGAGGGUGCGCCGAAUACUGAAUGACUUCGAGUGCGGGAGAGGAUAGUGGAAUUCCUGGUGUAGCGGUGAAAUGCGUAGAUAUCAGGAGGAACACCGGUGGUGUAGACGGCUAUCUGGACCGUAACUGACGCUGAGACACGAAAGCGUGGGUAGCAAACAGG
Molecule: ribosomal RNA, 254 nt
Filed under: uncultured bacterium
Lineage: Bacteria
Description: partial 16S ribosomal RNA
Rfam family: Bacterial small subunit ribosomal RNA
Source: RNAcentral